Molecule: transfer RNA, 475 nt
Filed under: Tildeniella nuda ZEHNDER 1965/U140
Lineage: Bacteria; Bacillati; Cyanobacteriota; Cyanophyceae; Oculatellales; Oculatellaceae
Description: 16S-23S ribosomal RNA intergenic spacer
Rfam family: tRNA (bases 278-350)
Source: RNAcentral
UUUAGGGAGACCUACCCGCAUGGUUGCUUGAACGCAUUUUGCCAUUAGAGUUCAUGUUGGUCAUCCCAAGGUCGUUCAAGUUUAAGUGUUGGCUUUCAAACUAGCUAGGUUUGGUUUAUGGGCUAUUAGCUCAGGUGGUUAGAGCGCACCCCUGAUAAGGGUGAGGUCCCUGGUUCGAGUCCAGGAUGGCCCACCUUUGAAAGAGGGAAGAGAAGUAGAGAGCCAAAAGAAAGCACUUAUUUUCUUUUUUCUAUCUUUAUUUUUCAUUCUUUUUCCUGGGGGUUUAGCUCAGUUGGUAGAGCGCCUGCUUUGCAAGCAGGAUGUCAACGGUUCGAGUCCGUUAACCUCCACUGAGUGCUUUAGUGGUGCGUGGCACCAGCGGGCAACCUUAAUUUCAGCAACUCAUCUAGUGCUUUCCAGCUAGAGAGACUGCUGGAUUUAAUGCCAGCCAGAACCUUGAAAACUGCAUAGUAUU